AUCUGUAGACUCGACGAUUGCCUGAUUCAGGUCGGCGGGCCUGUUUCGGAUCCCAUCGCUCUGCCCAAGAGGCAGACCGCCA
This 82-nucleotide small RNA is filed under the name uncultured Synechococcus sp. RNAcentral describes it as "Cyanobacterial ribosomal protein S1 leader". It matches the Rfam family "Cyanobacterial ribosomal protein S1 leader". From Rfam's summary of the family: cyano-S1 is a ncRNA recognized in the 5-prime region of genes encoding 30S ribosomal protein S1, it has been proposed as an cis regulation element. The record is from RNAcentral. Lineage: Bacteria; Bacillati; Cyanobacteriota; Cyanophyceae; Synechococcales; Synechococcaceae.